Non-coding RNA from Paramuricea clavata, 205 nucleotides. The record is from the annotation of a GenBank genome assembly. NCBI's taxonomy places the organism in Eukaryota, Metazoa, Cnidaria, Anthozoa, Malacalcyonacea, Plexauridae.
CUGGUUUCGUGCAUUUUGCUGAUCUUACAUUUGGAUGAGUAUAUGAAGUUAAAGCAUCUCAAAUUUUAUCAAAGUUGGUCGAUUUCAAACCAGUGGAAGAUGGUUAUGGUUAUUACAUGGAUUGUUAUGUCAAUAUGUAAUAUUCCACAGUUAAUCUACCAAGAGGUGCGGAGAUAUGCAACAAGAGAGGGGGAGUUUGUUUGCA